UUUAUAGUACGUAGUAAACCUGUAAAUAUUAUACUUAGGAACAAACUUAUUCGAAAUAAUUUAGAGUCAUGCAAAGUAUGGAGACGGGUUACCAAGGAAACUCAAUUUCAUGACUCCACUUCAUAAGGUACCAAAAGAGAUUUAUCACCAUAGCUGAAAACAUAGUAUUUUAGGAUUUGUUUUUACUAGUAGCAAAAUGCUAAUGAAAAGCAUAUUAAAAGCGACACAGGAGACGAGCUAACAAGAGCAUAUUCAAAAUAAUUCAUUCGACCCCGCGCACACAUCUACCUCCAUACCAAAGUACUGCGCCAGGAAAUUUACAUAGUCAUUUGACAUGCACCAUUACUAUACUAACUCCUAAGCUAUUAGGAAUGGCAGGACAGUCAGCAUAAACGCCUCAUAGGAAAAUGUUGCAGAGCCAGUAUNUCUAGUUGCCUAAAAUAGAACAAAACUUAUGGUUUACAUACUAGGAGAUAAAUCAGGUUGAUUAUGUUUCAUAUGUUUUUUUUAUAAUAAUAUGACAGACUACAAAGAAACAACAUUAUGCAAAUAUUAAACUAUAGGAAAUCAGAAAUGAAAAUUAAUUUCCUGUU
This 593-nucleotide long non-coding RNA is filed under the name Trifolium pratense (red clover). Its description in RNAcentral is "long non-coding RNA (TPRA_LNC012257)". The record is from RNAcentral. Lineage: Eukaryota; Viridiplantae; Streptophyta; Magnoliopsida; Fabales; Fabaceae.